CAAAGAAAGAAAAAUGGCUUUGCAGGCCAUUGCUAGUUUUGAAAAUGGAAGGGAUUCGAAUCAUGGUCCAAGGAAUGCAGACAGCCUUCAGAAGCUGAAAAAGGCGAGAAAAUGGGUUUUCCUAAAGUCUCCAGAAAGAGCACAGCCCUGCUGACACAUUUUCCAUAGCUGCCACUUCCCCUUAAGGCAACGCCUGCUUCAAGUCUGUCUGGUGACCUAAAUGGAGGAGAGGUAACAGGGUAUAAUGGAAUGAGCAUGUUCUCCUACCUUGAAUCGUAUAGUAAGGAAGAAUUUCCUGGGACAGAUAUUCAUCAAUGAACUGGAUUUCCCGUGCAGAAGCACCUAUUCUAUUAUGGAAAUUAUUGAGCAGUA
Chlorocebus sabaeus (green monkey) is the source of this 372-nucleotide non-coding RNA. The record is from RefSeq and is a predicted model, not a curated record. Lineage: Eukaryota; Metazoa; Chordata; Mammalia; Primates; Cercopithecidae.